This 650-nucleotide ribosomal RNA is filed under the name uncultured Methanosarcina sp. Its description in RNAcentral is "bacterial SSU rRNA". It matches the Rfam family "Archaeal small subunit ribosomal RNA", at positions 202 to 852 of the family's 1478-position model. The record is from RNAcentral. Lineage: Archaea; Methanobacteriati; Methanobacteriota; Methanomicrobia; Methanosarcinales; Methanosarcinaceae.
CCCAAGGAUGGGUCUGCGGCCUAUCAGGUAGUAGUGGGUGUAAUGUACCUACUAGCCGACAACGGGUACGGGUUGUGAGAGCAAGAGCCCGGAGAUGGAUUCUGAGACAUGAAUCCAGGCCCUACGGGGCGCAGCAGGCGCGAAAACUUUACAAUGCGGGAAACCGUGAUAAGGGGACACCGAGUGUCAGCAUCAUAUGCUGGCUGUCCAGGUGUGUAAAAUACACCUGUUAGCAAGAGCCGGGCAAGACCGGUGCCAGCCGCCGCGGUAACACCGGCGGCCCGAGUGGUGAUCGUGAUUAUUGGGUCUAAAGGGUCCGUAGCCGGUUUGGUCAGUCCUCCGGGAAAUCUGAUAGCUCAACUAUUAGGCUAUCGGGGGAUACUACCAGACUUGGAACCGGGAGAGGUAAGAGGUACUACAGGGGUAGGAGUGAAAUCUUGUAAUCCCUGUGGGACCACCUGUGGCGAAGGCGUCUUACCAGAACGGGUUCGACGGUGAGGGACGAAAGCUGGGGGCACGAACCGGAUUAGAUACCCGGGUAGUCCCAGCCGUAAACGAUGCUCGCUAGGUGUCAGGCAUGGCGCGACCGUGUCUGGUGCCGCAGGGAAGCCGUGAAGCGAGCCACCUGGGAAGUACGGCCGCAAGGCUGA